This 1214-nucleotide long non-coding RNA is filed under the name Amphibalanus amphitrite. Its description in RNAcentral is "uncharacterized LOC122383806". Lineage: Eukaryota; Metazoa; Arthropoda; Thecostraca; Balanomorpha; Balanidae. The record is from RNAcentral.
AUCAUGCCUCCCACUCCCGAUGGAGGCCCCAAAUGUCUGACCCCAUUUUUGUCUCUGUCUGGGUGUCUGGGGCGCAUAGCGACACGGGACCGCCGGCUCGCUGGCCGGCUGCCCGUCCGGUCACGUGCUUGCGUCCCGACACCCACCAUAAAACCAUGUCUUUCGUAAAUACACUCUCUCACUUCUCCUCUACUGACUGUACCGCCAACACUACCAGCGGACCACGGCUCCGACGAGGGCGGCCAAAAUGGCCGGCCCACAAUUGGUGCCAGCGGUGGUGGUUGGUUGUCCGUGAAGGACUUUUGGCUUCAGUCCUUGAGUUCUGUUACCCAUCUGGGAGUGGCCACUAUCUGACUCCCCGAGCAUCGACCACGGAGAAACGCCGAUACGCAUCACGGUCUGAAAAAGCUGGCUGACCAUAGUCAUGAUGGGACUGGAUGCUCAUCGCCAACCCAUCUGACUGUCUCAGUCGCUCUGCAUCUGGUCCACACAUCUCGCACACUGCAACUGCGGACGCCAUCACCGACUGCAACGGCUGCAACUACAACCAGCAGGUGGCCUAGGUCCAAAGCCAACGCCUGGCUGACCCACAUGGCAGCCUGCCGUCGCUACUAUCUUCAUCUGCUCAUCGUGCUUCGCUGUUCUCCGUCCGUUCGUCCGUCACUCUCGUCGCCCGUGCCAGCCGCCAUUACCAUGGCUGAGCACAACUCGUCGCCCGCCGUUGUCGAUGAACAACAGGCUACCAGCACCCUCGCUAACAACACCAAGUUCUGGUAUGCUGACGUCUUUUGGAAUCUGCAUGCUGUGCGGCGGCAGCCAACGCCCCGUGAACGGUAAAGGCCUUACCGUCACGGCGCACCAUGGUCGCUGCCCCUUCACAACCAGCUCAGACGUCAGCACCCAAGAAACAGAGGUGUGGCUGGUCCCACGCAUCAACAACGGCAUAACAUCGCGCUGACGAUAACAGUGACGACUACAAUGACGAAACAACCAAAUCGGAGAGCAGUUACAACAGCAGCAGCGAGUAGCGGCGACAUCAGCAGUCGUACCCGGCGUUCCAUGCGCGGUGUCAAACGUGGAUCUAUGCAGUUAAGGAUCGUGAUUGCUUACAGGGUUGGGCAGAUAAAUUGGGACAAAUUUUAACUUCCUCUAAAACGACUAGUUUUUUAGUGAUAAAGAUAAUUUUUGAACAUAUGUAAAUAAAGGCUAAUGAA